CUUACCAUGCAGUCGAACGGAAAGUGCCCUUCGGGGUGACUCGAGUGGCGAACGGGUGAGUAACACGUGGGUGAUCUGCCCUGCACUUUGGGAUAAGCCUGGGAAACUGGGUCUAAUACCGGAUAGGACCACGCGCUUCAUGGUGUGUGGUGGAAAGCUUUUGCGGUGUGGGAUGGGCCCGCGGCCUAUCAGCUUGUUGGUGGGGUAAUGGCCUACCAAGGCGACGACGGGUAGCCGGCCUGAGAGGGUGACCGGCCACACUGGGACUGAGAUACGGCCCAGACUCCUACGGGAGGCAGCAGUGGGGAAUAUUGCACAAUGGGCGCAAGCCUGAUGCAGCGACGCCGCGUGAGGGAUGACGGCCUUCGGGUUGUAAACCUCUUUCAGUAGGGACGAAGCGCAAGUGACGGUACCUAUAGAAGAAGGACCGGCCAACUACGUGCCAGCAGCCGCGGUAAUACGUAGGGUCCGAGCGUUGUCCGGAAUUACUGGGCGUAAAGAGCUCGUAGGUGGUUUGUCGCGUUGUUCGUGAAAACUCACAGCUUAACUGUGGGCGUGCGGGCGAUACGGGCAGACUGGAGUACUGCAGGGGAGACUGGAAUUCCUGGUGUAGCGGUGGAAUGCGCAGAUAUCAGGAGGAACACCGGUGGCGAAGGCGGGUCUCUGGGCAGUAACUGACGCUGAGGAGCGAAAGCGUGGGGAGCGAACAGGAUUAGAUACCCUGGUAGUCCACGCCGUAAACGGUGGGUACUAGGUGUGGGUUUCCUUCCUUGGGAUCCGUGCCGUAGCUAACGCAUUAA
Molecule: ribosomal RNA, 800 nt
Filed under: uncultured Mycobacterium sp.
Lineage: Bacteria; Bacillati; Actinomycetota; Actinomycetes; Mycobacteriales; Mycobacteriaceae
Description: bacterial SSU rRNA
Rfam family: Bacterial small subunit ribosomal RNA
Source: RNAcentral